AGUUUGCGGCUCAACCGUAAAAUUGCAGUUGAUACUGGAUAUCUUGAGUGCAGUUGAGGCAGGCGGAAUUCGUGGUGUAGCGGUGAAAUGCUUAGAUAUCACGAAGAACUCCGAUUGCGAAGGCAGCCUGCUAAGCUGCAACUGACAUUGAGGCUCGAAAGUGUGGGUAUCAAACAGGAUUAGAUACCCUGGUAGUCCACACGGUAUACGAUGAAUACUCGCUGUUUGCGAUAUACUGCAAGCGGCCAAGCGAAAGCGUUAAGUAUUCCACCUGGGGAGUACGCUGGCAACGGUGAAACUCAAAAGAAUUGACGGGGGCCCGCACAAGCGGAGGAACAUGUGGUUUAAUUCGAUGAUACGCGAGGAACCUUACCCGGGCUUAAAUUGCAGAUGAAUUACGGUGAAAGCCGUAAGCCGCAAGGCAUCUGUGAAGGUGCUGCAUGGUUGUCGUCAGCUCGUGCCGUGAGGUGUCGGCUUAAGUGCCAUAACGAGCGCAACCCUUGUUGUCAGUUACUAACAGGUUCCGCUGAGGACUCUGACAAGACUGCCAUCGUAAGAUGUGAGUAAGGUGGGGAUGACGUCAAAUCAGCACGGCCCUUACUUCCGGGGCUACACACGUGUUACAAUGGGGGGUACAGAGGGCCGCUACCACGCGAGUGGAUGCCAAUCCCCAAAACCUCUCUCA
Molecule: ribosomal RNA, 685 nt
Filed under: uncultured bacterium
Lineage: Bacteria
Description: bacterial SSU rRNA
Rfam family: Bacterial small subunit ribosomal RNA
Source: RNAcentral